Molecule: ribosomal RNA, 427 nt
Filed under: uncultured Desulfovibrio sp.
Lineage: Bacteria; Pseudomonadati; Thermodesulfobacteriota; Desulfovibrionia; Desulfovibrionales; Desulfovibrionaceae
Description: partial 16S ribosomal RNA
Rfam family: Bacterial small subunit ribosomal RNA
Source: RNAcentral
UGGGGAAUAUUGCGCAAUGGGCGAAAGCCUGACGCAGCGACGCCGCGUGAGGGAUGAAGGUCUUCGGAUCGUAAACCUCUGUCAGAAGGGAAGAAAUUCACUCGUGCUAAUCAGCGGGUGAUUGACGGUACCUUCAAAGGAAGCACCGGCUAACUCCGUGCCAGCAGCCGCGGUAAUACGGAGGGUGCGAGCGUUAAUCGGAAUCACUGGGCGUAAAGCGCACGUAGGCUGUUUUGUAAGUCAGGGGUGAAAUCCCACGGCUCAACCGUGGAACUGCCUUUGAUACUGCUGAACUAGAAUCCGGGAGAGGGUGGCGGAAUUCCAGGUGUAGGAGUGAAAUCCGUAGAUAUCUGGAGGAACAUCAGUGGCGAAGGCGGCCACCUGGACCGGUAUUGACGCUGAGGUGCGAAAGCGUGGGGAGCAAACA